CAGCCGCCGCGGGAAUACGUAGGUGGCAAGCGUUGUCCGGAAUUAUUGGGCGUAAAGGGCUCGCAGGCGGUUUCUUAAGUCUGAUGUGAAAGCCCCCGGCUCACCCGGGGAGGGUCAUUGGAAACUGGGAAACUUGAGUGCAGAAGAGGAGAGUGGAAUUCCACGCGUAGCGGUGAAAUGCGUAGAGAUGUGGAGGAACACCAGUGGCGAAGGCGACUCUCUGGUCUGUAACUGACGCUGAGGAGCGAAAGCGUGGGGAGCGAACAGGAUUAGAUACCCGUGUAGUCCUGUCUCUUAUACA
This 301-nucleotide ribosomal RNA is filed under the name uncultured bacterium. RNAcentral describes it as "partial 16S ribosomal RNA". It matches the Rfam family "Bacterial small subunit ribosomal RNA", at positions 509 to 809 of the family's 1533-position model. The record is from RNAcentral.